This is a non-coding RNA of Xyrichtys novacula (pearly razorfish), 482 nucleotides long. The record is from the annotation of a GenBank genome assembly. NCBI's taxonomy places the organism in Eukaryota, Metazoa, Chordata, Actinopteri, Labriformes, Labridae.
ACAAGCCUUGAGGUUGAUCCAAUGGAAAGCACUGUAUGUAAGCAUAUGUGUGUGCAAAAUAUACCCCAAUCAUCUGCCUUCAUGGAUUCAGACCCCAUAAAUUCUGAUCCCUGUCUCCUCAUCUUUUCUUCCUCAAAAACUGCAGCAUGACUGACUACCGAUCAGCAUAUAUCAGCUCUGUCUCCAACAUAACUCACUCCGAUUCAGACAUGAUAGUUUCUGUUGCACAAAAAAGCAAAGAAUAAACACAGAUUUUAACAGGGGAUACAACCAGCUGGGUUCAAAGUUAUCUAUCUGAACCACCAAACAAAAUGGAGAAAUCAGCCAGGAUGAUAAAUUGGUCUUUUACAUUAUGCACUUUUGUUUCCGGUACAUUAUAUGAAGGUAAUGACAUAUCGAAUACAAACCAAACGAGUAGGCUGGAGACAAAUAUAAGGCCACAUUACUCAUUCUGAUCAGCUGUUAAUCAACUGACGCCUAAG